CCUACGGGAGGCAGCAGUGGGGAAUCUUGCGCAAUGGCCGAGAGGCUGACGCAGCGACGCCGCGUGGGGGAUGAAGCAUUUCGGUGUGUAAACCCCUGUUGCUCGGGACGAACGAUCCUUUUCGAGGGAUGUGACGGUACCGAGUGAGGAAGCACCGGCUAACUCCGUGCCAGCAGCCGCGGUAAUACGGAGGGUGCGAGCGUUGUCCGGAAUCACUGGGCGUAAAGGGCGCGUAGGUGGUUGGAUGCGCCGGUGGUGAAAGCGCAGGGCUCAACCCUGCGUCGGCCAUCGGGACGGUCCGACUUGAGCACUGUAGAGGCAGGUGGAAUUCCGGGUGUAGCGGUGGAAUGCGUAGAGAUCCGGAAGAACACCGGUGGCGAAGGCGGCCUGCUGGGCAGUAGCUGACACUGAGGCGCGACAGCGUGGGGAGCAAACAGGAUUAGAUACCCUGGUAGUCCACGCCGUAAACGAUGGGCACUAGGUGCUUGGGGGAGCGACCCCCUGAGUGCCGACGCUAACGCAUUAAGUGCCCCGCCUGGGGAGUACGACCGCAAGGUUGAAACUCAAAGGAAUUGACGG
This 579-nucleotide ribosomal RNA is filed under the name uncultured bacterium. RNAcentral's name for it is "bacterial SSU rRNA". It matches the Rfam family "Bacterial small subunit ribosomal RNA", at positions 338 to 916 of the family's 1533-position model. The record is from RNAcentral.